ACCGAGCUGAGAAAUGCCAGUGUCGGCCAUGCUGGCCACAUGUAGGAUGGAGCAGGAUCCCCAGCCACCCAUGCGAGGCCACCCCCUUCCUGGGGGUCCUUGUUCAGAGGGGCACCGACAACUAACUGGCUGAACGAGCUGUCUGAUGACAUCUUGGAACCCUGACCAUAAAGGUGCAGGACCUGGCCACAUGCGCCUGUGCCGGGGAGGGCAGAACGCUGGUGCCUGGCACAGGUGCCACAACACAUACAGUGUUGGGGCGCCAUCUUGGAAGCAGAGAUCCGGCCUCACCAGACACCAAGCCUGCUGGUACCGUGACCCUGGACUCCCAGCCUCCACAGCUGGGAAAGACCUCUGCUCCCUGGAAAUUACCCAGGCUCAGCCCACCCUCGCACACUCAUUCACUGGCCCACCCCUUAGGUGUGUGCUUCUGUGCCAAGACUGAGAUCCAGCUGUCACAACAGGCACCCA
RNAcentral lists this non-coding RNA (471 nucleotides) under Pongo abelii (Sumatran orangutan). Lineage: Eukaryota; Metazoa; Chordata; Mammalia; Primates; Hominidae. The record is from RNAcentral.